CCUCAAAAAGAGAAAUUAAGACCUGAAGGGGCUGAACUUUCUCAUUAGAUGUACUUAUGGAUUUAUUACAUUUUUUAAUUUUUCUGAAACUUGACCUUUCAGGAAGUGGCUGCUUUAUUGUAAGAGAAGAAUAAUGUUUUAGCAACACUCCUAUUCUGAUUGUCACUUAAAUGAGGAUGUGAUCAAGAAAGAUAAAGGGAGAAGAGCACCACACUGAAUCUAGAAGUUUACAACCAGUGUCACUAGUUAGAAAAAUCAUCAGUGAAAACAAACAUGGUUGCAUCAUGUCACAAUAUAAUCUCUCUCUCUCUUUUUUUUUUUUUUUUUUUAAACUGUUGCCCCAGGAGAAAGCAGAAAACUGGGUUUAUUCAUCAAUGGGACACUGUAUUUCCUGUGAUUGGGAAAGAACUGUUAAAUUUCAGGGAAGGCAAACCCACUAUUUUGGAUAGAAAACUAUAUCCUGUAUAGUGAACUUAUCCAGUCAGAAACUUUUUUCAAUGUAUGAAAAUGUAUUUAUUUUAAUACUAAAAUUUUCAUUAUA
This is a long non-coding RNA of Athene cunicularia (burrowing owl), 541 nucleotides long. RefSeq lists it as uncharacterized. Lineage: Eukaryota; Metazoa; Chordata; Aves; Strigiformes; Strigidae. The transcript has 2 exons. The record is from RefSeq and is a predicted model, not a curated record.